Molecule: ribosomal RNA, 301 nt
Filed under: uncultured bacterium
Lineage: Bacteria
Description: partial 16S ribosomal RNA
Rfam family: Bacterial small subunit ribosomal RNA
Source: RNAcentral
CAGCCGCCGCGGGAAUACGGAGGGUGCAAGCGUUAAUCGGAAUUACUGGGCGUAAAGCGCACGCAGGCGGUCUGUCAAGUCAGAUGUGAAAUCCCCGGGCUUAACCUGGGAACUGCAUCCAAAACUGGCAAGCUAGAGUAUGGUAGAGGGUGGUGGAAUUUCCUGUGUAGCGGUGAAAUGCGUAGAUAUAGGAAGGAACACCAGUGGCGAAGGCGACCACCUGGACUGAUACUGACACUGAGGUGCGAAAGCGUGGGGAGCAAACAGGAUUAGAUACCCGCGUAGUCCCUGUCUCUUAUAC